ACCGGCGCUCGGGUGAGUAACGCGUAUCCAACCUGCCCAUCACUUGGGGAUAACCUUGCGAAAGUAAGACUAAUACCCAAUGGUGAUGGAUGGGGAUGCGUCUGAUUAGCUUGUUGGCGGGGUAACGGCCCACCAAGGCAACGAUCAGUAGGGGUUCUGAGAGGAAGGUCCCCCACAUUGGAACUGAGACACGGUCCAAACUCCUACGGGAGGCAGCAGUGAGGAAUAUUGGUCAAUGGACGAGAGUCUGAACCAGCCAAGUAGCGUGCAGGAUGACGGCCUAUGGGUUGUAAACUGCUUUUAUAAGGGAAUAUGUACCUUAUGAAUAAGGACCGGCUAAUUCCGUGCCAGCAGCCGCGGUAAUACGGAAGGUCCGGGCGUUAUCCGGAUUUAUUGGGUUUAAAGGGAGCGUAGGCCGGAGAUUAAGCGUGUUGUGAAAUGUAGACGCUCAACGUCUGCACUGCAGCGCGAACUGGUUUCCUUGAGUACGCACAAAGUGGGCGGAAUUCGUGGUGUAGCGGUGAAAUGCUUAGAUAUCACGAAGAACUCCGAUUGCGAAGGCAGCUCACUGGAGCGCAACUGACGCUGAAGCUCGAAAGUGCGGGUAUCGAACAGGAUUAGAUA
Molecule: ribosomal RNA, 624 nt
Filed under: uncultured bacterium
Lineage: Bacteria
Description: bacterial SSU rRNA
Rfam family: Bacterial small subunit ribosomal RNA
Source: RNAcentral